AUACAGAGGGUGCAAGCGUUAAUCGGAAUUACUGGGCGUAAAGCGCGCGUAGGCGGUUAGAUAAGUCGGAUGUGAAAUCCCUGGGCUCAACCUGGGAACUGCAUUCGAUACUGUCUAACUAGAGUAUGGUAGAGGGAAGUGGAAUUCCGGGUGUAGCGGUGAAAUGCGUAGAUAUCCGGAGGAACAUCAGUGGCGAAGGCGACUUCCUGGACCAAUACUGACGCUGAGGUGCGAAAGCGUGGGGAGCAAACAGGAUUAGAAACCCUAGUAGUCC
RNAcentral lists this ribosomal RNA (274 nucleotides) under uncultured bacterium. RNAcentral describes it as "partial 16S ribosomal RNA". It matches the Rfam family "Bacterial small subunit ribosomal RNA", at positions 523 to 796 of the family's 1533-position model. The record is from RNAcentral.